This 900-nucleotide long non-coding RNA is filed under the name Homo sapiens (human). Its description in RNAcentral is "HSALNT0175359". The record is from RNAcentral. Lineage: Eukaryota; Metazoa; Chordata; Mammalia; Primates; Hominidae.
CCACCUCCUGACAUCUCAGGGUUGUCCGCAGCUGGGGAGACGGUGGUCCCAUCCUCAGAGAGCUUCCCUUCCUUCUGCUCCAUCUCUGGAAAGAGAAGACAAGCAGACCUGGUCAUGCCCCAGCCCAGCAUGAGGUGAAGACCCCACCCUCAGAGAGCUCUGGCCUGGGAGUCAGGAAGUCCGUGGUUCAGUCUUGGCUCCUACUUGGACAUGGGGCCCAAUCACGAAGGAGAGAGAAGUGCUUCCCCAAAGCUGGGAUGGUUGGGCUACAUUGACAUGACGUUGGAUGGUGUUCACCUGAUGCCCCUCGUGGGGAAUGAGUGAAUGGUGCAGUUUGAAGAACACAUUAAGUCUUGAAAGUUGGAAAGUUCACCAGUACCCUUCUUUCCCUCACCCAAGAUUAGCCCUGGUGGCAGCCGAAAUUGCUUUUAUUAUCUCUUUGUGGCUGAGGACCUCUAACUGUUGAAGAAAACAUAUUUUACACGUCUUGUCUUUCUGCGAACAGGAAGCCUAUCUCGCUUAUCUUUGCAACCCCAGACGGGGCUUAGUGUGACCUACACACAGCAGUAAUCGCACAACGUCCCGUGGAGCACUGCUUCUCAAAUUUGGCUGUACAUACGAAUCACCUGGGGAAUUUUAAAUUGUAUUGCUGCCUGAGGAAUUUUAAACUGUACUCCCAGAGAUUCUGAUUUAAUUGAAAUGAGGUGAGUCCUGGGCACUGGGAUGUUUAAAAACGUUCCAGGUGAUUUUAACGCGAAACAAAAACAGAACCGCUGUUUGGGGGCGUUCUUCCUUCUCCACGCCUGAUUUGCGCACAGGAGUCGGCUGUCUGGAACGGGGGUGAGGUUCACAGGUGUCUGUCGCCACGCCUCUUCCUACAGAACCAAUAAACUGAAGCCG